AUGACCGACUCAUAUCUCCUCUCCUCAAUCUCGUUGUGUUCCCGUCAAAUCUCUCCAUCGCCCAAAUGUCGUCAGCCUCUUAUCCACGCCACGGGAAUCAUGCACCGCCGCCGGGAAGCCCACCGUAUCCGGCCUCCCCUGAUGCACCCCCUCCUCCACGGCUCAGUCGGUCCGUAUCCCACGUUGCGGGAGCCAGGAGCGACAGUGCUAAGCGAGCGGGGCCGGGCGAGGCCGGCAGGGGCGCUAGAUCUGAAGAACGCCACGGGAGGCGCGUCGGGCAGGGAGAACCAUGGCCCGUGGAGUCGAGCGGCGGUCAGUGAAGGCCAGCAAGCAGUGGAGUCCAGCGACGACCUUGCGGAGGAGCAGAUUGGAGGUCUGAGUGCAUCGCAUGAACAUGCAUCACGUCUUCAUGAAAGACCAAUUGUGAGCUGGCUAUGGUCUGCUGGAUCGAAAGUUCAAGGGCCUAAACUGGACGAUGGAAGCGGUGGGUUCCAUUUCGGCAAAGUAGGCGGCGGUGAUGGAGGGGUGGUGGCGGCAGCAACUGUUCCUUCUCUAGACCAUCGUGGUGCUCCUGGAUUACCUCAAGGAGUUUGA
Molecule: ribosomal RNA, 594 nt
Filed under: Triticum aestivum (bread wheat)
Lineage: Eukaryota; Viridiplantae; Streptophyta; Magnoliopsida; Poales; Poaceae
Description: partial small subunit ribosomal RNA
Source: RNAcentral